Molecule: transfer RNA, 73 nt
Filed under: Erinaceus europaeus (western European hedgehog)
Lineage: Eukaryota; Metazoa; Chordata; Mammalia; Eulipotyphla; Erinaceidae
Rfam family: tRNA
About the family: Transfer RNA (tRNA) molecules are approximately 80 nucleotides in length. Their secondary structure includes four short double-helical elements and three loops (D, anti-codon, and T loops).
Source: Rfam by way of RNAcentral
AAGGAGAUAGCUGAGUGGUAUAGAGUACAUGCCUGUCAUGCAUGAAACCUGGGGUUCAGUCCUCAUCACUGUA